Labrus mixtus (cuckoo wrasse) is the source of this 1338-nucleotide RNA transcript. It is a transcript of the gene named atherin-like, with no coding region annotated. The record is from RefSeq and is a predicted model, not a curated record. The transcript has 6 exons. NCBI's taxonomy places the organism in Eukaryota, Metazoa, Chordata, Actinopteri, Labriformes, Labridae.
CAGAUCACUCCGCAGGGUCAGACACACUUUUUUUUAAACACAACAUAAACAAAUAAACCCACUCCCACACAGACAACCACACACCUCCACUUUCUGAACAGCCCCUCCCGGAGUAUGUGCACUCUGACCGGGUGGAGGACACUAACUCUCCCGGUAAUAAACUCUCCGCUCCGGUAGAGACGUUAACGUUUCCUCGGCCCUACUUCUCCUGCUGUCGCUGACAGGCGGUGCUUCGGUCGCUCCCAAACAUGGCCUCCAUGACGGAGCGACCGCUUCAACUUUAAUUUUUCGCCAAUUUUCAGAGCAAAAAGACGUUUUUCUCCUUCCACGACCACCGGGAAUGUUUCGUCUGAGGGUCCCAUCAUGGCAGAGUCGUGACGCGGAUGUGAUCUUUGGGAGAAGUUCGCCGUUGUCUCUGAACAGAUCGCUUUAAGUUGGAGAGGAAAAAGAGAAUUUCAUCAAAUCAAAUGCCAUCUGAGGCUCAGUCCCAGGAGCCUCGGGAUAGAGGACCGGCACAUCCCGUCACUCGGGCUGGACGCAGCGCUCAGCUGGCCAAGGCUGCUGCUACUAGCCCCGCCCCCGAGAGGCGGCCUCGUGGGCGUCCUCGGAAAGAUGGGAGCAGCGGCCGAUCUGCUCCUCCUACCCCUCCUCCUCCACCUCCUCCACCACCACCUCCCAAAUCAAGGAAGAAGGGGCGGAGUCGAGGACGAGCCCAGGUAGAGGAUGAAGAAAGCAUGGACGCCACAGAGAAGAAAACCCCCCAGAAGAAAGGUGUGUAUGACGGCAAGGCUCCGUUGAGUUUUGUGUUAUUUUGUGUGUUAUAGGUGUGUAGUUUGUGUGUGUGUGUGUUACAGGUGUGUAGUUUGUGUGUGUUACAGGUGUGUAGUUUGUGUGUGUUAUAGGUGUGUAGUUUGUGUGUGUAGUUUGUGUGUGUGUGUUACAGGUGUGUAGUUUGUGUGUGUGUGUGUUACAGGUGUGUAGUGUGUGUGUGUGUGUUACAGGUGUGUAGUUUGUGUGUGUGUUACAGGUGUGUAGUUUGUGUGUGUGUUACAGGUGUGUAGUUUGUGUGUGUUACAGGUGUGUAGUUUGUGUGUGUGUGUUACAGGUGUGUAGUUUGUGUGUGUGUGUUACAGGUGUGUAGUUUGUGUGUGUUACAGGUGUGUAGUUUGUGUGUGUGUUACAGGUGUGUAGUUUGUGUGUGUGUUACAGGUGUGUAGUUUGUGUGUGUUACAGGUGUGUAGUUUUUGUGUGUGUUACAGGUGUGUAGUUUGUGUGUGUGUUACAGGUGUGUAGUUUGUGUGUGUUAUAGGUGUGUAGUUUGUGUGUGUGUUGUUGGGG